RNAcentral lists this ribosomal RNA (253 nucleotides) under uncultured bacterium. RNAcentral's name for it is "partial 16S ribosomal RNA". It matches the Rfam family "Bacterial small subunit ribosomal RNA", at positions 524 to 776 of the family's 1533-position model. The record is from RNAcentral.
UACAGAGGUGGCAAGCGUUGUUCGGAAUUACUGGGCGUAAAGGGCGCGUAGGCGGUCUUGUAAGUCCUGUGUGAAAUCCCUCGGCUCAACUGAGGAACUGCACGGGAAACUGCUUGGCUUGAGUUCGGGAGAGGGAAGCGGAAUUCCGGGUGUAGCGGUGAAAUGCGCAGAUAUCAGGAGGAACACCGGUGGCGAAGGCGGGUCUCUGGGCCGAUACUGACGCUGAGGAGCGAAAGCGUGGGGAGCGAACAGG